CCUGCCCAUGAAUACACUGCAGUUGUGAUUGCUGUGCUAGAUAAGCAUCAGUAGGUGACAGAGAGGAGCAAGGCUGCAUUUAUGCUUAAUUUUCUGACCUAUAAAUAUCUGAAUGAUUAAUAGCCUAAUAUU
Grammomys surdaster is the source of this 132-nucleotide small nucleolar RNA. RefSeq annotates it as small nucleolar RNA SNORA17. The transcript has a single exon. NCBI's taxonomy places the organism in Eukaryota, Metazoa, Chordata, Mammalia, Rodentia, Muridae. The record is from RefSeq and is a predicted model, not a curated record.